Bombus terrestris (buff-tailed bumblebee) is the source of this 1709-nucleotide long non-coding RNA. RefSeq lists it as uncharacterized. The transcript has 2 exons. The record is from RefSeq and is a predicted model, not a curated record. NCBI's taxonomy places the organism in Eukaryota, Metazoa, Arthropoda, Insecta, Hymenoptera, Apidae.
UUUCUCUGCCUAUCAUAGGUAUGCGGAAUAUAUAACAAAACAAUAUGAAAGAAACAUUGUAGUAAUGUUUCUUUGUUAUUGGAACGUUACGUGGAAUUCGAUUUGGAUAUCUUAGGAUUAAAAACACGAAUGAAACACAAGGUUCACUGUUUUUACAUUAUAACUAGAAUCAUGUUUAAUGGAUUGCGAAGAACAGUAAGAGAUUAUUUUGGAGGUCAAUCGUUCAUGUAUAUCUUUGAUACAUUAUGCAACGUUUUAGAUUGAUGCAUAUUGCCACGUGGUUAUUCUGAGACCGGUCAUUUCGUAUCAUUAUUUACGAGAAUUUUACAAGAAAUACUCCAACCGGUGCGUCGUAUAAUAUCUAAUAAUUUCAACAUUUUUUAAACGAAUAUUCUUAUUAUAUAUGCGUCGUAUUGAUUACUUAAAAUUAAACGCAUAAAGUAGGUUCAACUUUCGUAAUUAAUGUCGAGGAACGUCAGCCUACUGAUAAAGUGCAAAGUUAACGAUGCAAGUACAUGUAGUUUGUCGACAUGUAGUCACAUCUUUGUUCCUAUAAAUAAAUGACGAGAGUCGCGUAGUCUCGGUUUAUCACUCCAGUGCAUACUCUUAUGCAAGCUUUACCGCGUGGAAAAAUCAAUAAUCACCUGCGACGUCUCUACCUAAGGUGUUACGUCAGAACUUUUGGGGGGAGGGGGGAGGCUGGCAUACUGGUAACUUCUGUUGUCAUAGGACACAGUGAACACUAAGUAUCAAAGAAAUUUUUCAAAAUAUUAAACGAUUAAACAAUAUUAAUUUUCAAGUAUUCUACUUACGAAUAACCCCUUAUAUAUGAUUCUAAUAUUUUUGGUUACCGAUUACCAUUACCUACGUGAAAUAUUUUUUGUUGCCGACUACCAUUAUGGCAGAAUCAUUUUUUGGUUGUCGAUAACUAUUAUUCGUGACGGAGUUAUUUUUAGUUACCAAUGACCAUUUUUCAUGACUGAGGUUUUUUGGUUACUCAUAACAAUUAUAAUUUUGGUUACUGAUAUCUAUUAUGUAAGAAAGCAUCUUUUAAUCGUUGAUAACAAUUAUCAACGAUAUAAUUUUUUUGCUACCGAUAACCAUCAUAAAUUUCUUUGGUGACUAAUAACCGUUAUUUUUGGCGGAUUUCUUUUUGGCUAUUGAUAACCAUUAUCAAAGAUGGAACUUUUUUUAGGUACCGAUAAUUAUUAUCGAUGACGGGAUUUUUCGUUACCAUUACCAAUUGUCGAUAACCCGAAUUUUGUUUUAAAAAUCGUUUUGGUUGAUAAGCAAAAAGAUUUUUAUUGUUUAUCAUGAUUAUUCGUAACCACGUUGUUUUAAUUGAAUAAGUCUUAUAGCAUAACUUUUGAAACUUCUGUUUUCCCCCUCUUACCCAUACUUUCAAACGAUAACAAUUCUCCAUAUUUGCGUUGUUGCUUGUUCAGUUGAUACAACUUCUUGUUUUUAAAUUAUUCAAUGGCCAUUAGUGUCCUGUAUAUAGAAUAUUUUUUUAACAAGAAUGUAAAACGUCCAAGUAUAUUUUAUAACACUUCCAGGGCCUUCAUAAAGCUUGCCACUAUCGUGUUUAAAACAUAGUAUCGAGUUUCAUGUCCGAAAUAAAUGCCAGUAGUUUAUGUCACAAUUUUACUAAAAAUUUAACAGUUUAAAAAGCUCAGACAGUGCGUACUUUUUGUUGCUCUCAAGCUUAA